GAUGAAGAACGUAGCGAAAUGCGAUAAGUAAUGUGAAUUGCAGAAUUCAGUGAAUCAUCGAAUCUUUGAACGCACAUUGCGCCCCUUGGUAUUCCGAGGGGCAUGCCUAUUCGAGCGUCAUUAUCACCCCUCAAGCUCCGGCUUGGUGUUGAGGCCUGCUGUAAAGGCACCCUCUAAAAUCAGUGGCAGUGCUGUCAGGCUCUAAGCGUAGUAAUUCUCUCGCUACAGGGUCCCGGUGGACACUCGCCAGAACCCCCCCAUUUUUCAAUGAUUGACCUCGGAUUAGGUAGGGAUACCCGCUGAACUUAAGCAUAUCAAUAAGCGGAGGA
Molecule: unclassified non-coding RNA, 329 nt
Filed under: soil metagenome
Description: partial contains 5.8S ribosomal RNA, internal transcribed spacer 2, and large subunit ribosomal RNA
Rfam family: 5.8S ribosomal RNA (bases 1-120)
Source: RNAcentral